Molecule: ribosomal RNA, 419 nt
Filed under: bacterium
Lineage: Bacteria
Description: partial 16S ribosomal RNA
Rfam family: Bacterial small subunit ribosomal RNA
Source: RNAcentral
UGGGGGAUAUUGCACAAUGGGCGAAAGCCUGAUGCAGCGACGCCGCGUGGGGGAUGAAGGCCUUCGGGUUGUAAACUUCUUUUGCUCUGAACAAGGCAUGCUAAUGGGUGUGUUGAGUGUAGGGGUUGAUUAGCGCCGGCUAACUACGUGCCAGCAGCCGCGGUAAUACGUAGGGCACGAGCGUUGUCCGGAAUUAUUGGGCGUAAAGGGCUUGUAGGUGGCUGGUUGCGUCUGUCGUGAAAGCUCAUGGCUUAACUGUGGGUUUGCGGUGGGUACGGGCUGGCUUGAGUGCAGUAGGGGAGGCUGGAAUUCCUGGUGUAGCGGUGGAAUGCGCAGAUAUCAGGAGGAAUACCGGUGGCGAAGGCGGGUCUCUGGGCUGUUACUGACACUGAGGAGCGAAAGCAUGGGGAGCGAACAGG